RNAcentral lists this ribosomal RNA (497 nucleotides) under uncultured bacterium. RNAcentral's name for it is "partial 16S ribosomal RNA". It matches the Rfam family "Bacterial small subunit ribosomal RNA", at positions 28 to 507 of the family's 1533-position model. The record is from RNAcentral.
GAUGAACGCUGGCGGCGUGCCUAAUACAUGCAAGUCGAGCGAACGGACGAGAAGCUUGCUUUUCUGGUGUUAGCGGCGGACGGGUGAGUAACACGUGGAUAACCUACCUAUAAGACUGGGAUAACUUCGGGAAACCGGAGCUAAUACCGGAUAAUAUUUUGAACCGCAUGGUUCAAAAGUGAAAGACGGUCUUGCUGUCACUUAUAGAUGGAUCCGCGCUGCAUUAGCUAGUUGGUAAGGUAACGGCUUACCAAGGCAACGAUGCAUAGCCGACCUGAGAGGGUGAUCGGCCACACUGGAACUGAGACACGGUCCAGACUCCUACGGGAGGCAGCAGUAGGGAAUCUUCCGCAAUGGGCGAAAGCCUGACGGAGCAACGCCGCGUGAGUGAUGAAGGUCUUCGGAUCGUAAAACUCUGUUAUUAGGGAAGAACAUAUGUGUAAGUAACUGUGCACAUCUUGACGGUAUCUAAUCAGAAAGCCACGGCUAACUACGUG